CAGUCCUGCAGCGUGCAACCACUACUGGGGCAGCUCGUGACUCCUCUUGGCCAUGGACCUCAGAGCCCAUACAGGUGAAAUGUGAGACGUAACUUUGCCUUGUGUGGCCCUAAUGAACAUAAGGUGGGCAAAGCUGCUGGAGCAUCCUCAUGCCAUGAUCUUCGAGGAGCAACAUCGCAGUGCAGUGCCUUGUCAUGGUGGGGCAUGGCACUGAGAGCUGCUGGCCACCAGGAGGGAGACAAAGGGAAGGUGACCAUCUUUCCGACAUGGAGCAUGUAGCAGCUGCCUGUGAUGCUGCCUUGCAAAAGUGGUGGGGAAGUAUUUACAUUAUUAAACAUUGUGAUGACAAGUGUCUUGGGAUCUUGCAAGGCUGUAUUGCUAAGUAAGGCAACAAGCAGUGUAACUGCUGGCAUGUUUUGAAGUAACUAAAUGGAUCCAAUGACAAUUCAUUUUUUAAUAGAUGAAAGAGAAGCAGGCUUCAAAACAGAUAAUGAAUUUCUUCUAACUCGUCUGGAGACUGAAGAGCCAUAAUUCUGAUUGAUCAGAUAUGGUCUGCUUCAGAGAGGCACCAGAUGUGAUCCAGAUUUUAAAUAGAUGCUGCUACUGUCAAAAUGCAUUCGCUCCCUCCUGGUAUAACAAAGUGAAGUCCAUCUGUCUGGAGUUGUGUACUUUUUUUAGUGGUAAUAACAGUUAACAUCAACAAUAAGCUUUGUCUCAUUAGUAUCACAUAAUCCCUACUACCAAGUCCCCAGUUUCUGGUCCCCAUAUUAUCUGCCAUGGAAAAAAUAAAGACCACAGCAGGAGCUAAGAAGGUCA
RNAcentral lists this long non-coding RNA (816 nucleotides) under Manacus vitellinus (golden-collared manakin). RNAcentral's name for it is "lncRNA (ENSMVIG00005000120.1)". The record is from RNAcentral. Lineage: Eukaryota; Metazoa; Chordata; Aves; Passeriformes; Pipridae.